AAGUCGUAACAAGGUUUCCGUAGGUGAACCUGCGGAAGGAUCAUUAUCGUGGGGCUCCGGCCCUAUCGAGAUAGAACCCUUGCCUUUUUUGAGUACCAUCCGUUUCCUCGGCAGGCUCGCCUGCCAAUGGGGACCCAAUCAAACCUUUGCAAUACCUGUAAUAGUCUGAUAAAACAAACAAAAAUCAAAACUUUCAACAACGGAUCUCUUGGUUCUG
This 217-nucleotide unclassified non-coding RNA is filed under the name fungal sp. Its description in RNAcentral is "partial internal transcribed spacer region". The stretch from base 1 to 46 matches the Rfam family "Eukaryotic small subunit ribosomal RNA", at positions 1786 to 1831 of the family's 1831-position model. Lineage: Eukaryota; Fungi. The record is from RNAcentral.